UACAGGGGGGGCAAGCGUUGUUCGGAAUUACUGGGCGUAAAGGGCUCGUAGGUGGCCAACUAAGUCAGACGUGAAAUCCCUCAGCUUAACUGGGGAACUGCGUCUGAUACUGGAUGGCUUGAAUCCGGGAGAGGGAUGCGGAAUUCCAGGUGUAGCGGUGAAAUGCGUAGAUAUCUGGAGGAAUACCGGUGGCGAAGGCGGCAUCCUGGACCGAGAUUGACGCUGAUGAGCGAAAGCUAGGGGAGCGAACGGG
This 253-nucleotide ribosomal RNA is filed under the name uncultured bacterium. RNAcentral's name for it is "partial 16S ribosomal RNA". It matches the Rfam family "Bacterial small subunit ribosomal RNA", at positions 524 to 776 of the family's 1533-position model. The record is from RNAcentral.